CAUGCAUGUCUUCGAAGUAUAAUAGGAAGUGAUCCAUAAAUCUGCGAACGGCUCCGUAUAUCUGUUAUCACCUUCGGCCACUUAAAAGAUCUCGGAUACCCACGGUAAUUCUGAGGCUAAUACGUAUACGUAACUUGGGCCUCCAGGACACGGCAUCCUCCAGUGGGGAGGGCGCCGGGGCUAUCCGAUUGAUGCCGGGGGGCCCCGCAAGGGGUCCACUGUCAUGAGUGCAGGGUAGUGCGCCACACCGCCAGGGCAUUACAUCUCGCGGGGUGCGCUCCGGGUGCCAGCCCUAUUAACUAGAUGUCCGGUCAAGGCCCGGCCACGGUGAUAACGGGUACAGAGGAUUAGGGUUCGAUCCUGGAGAGGAAGCCUGAGAGAUCGCUUCUACUUCUAAGGAAGGCAGCAGGCGCGCAACGUUCCCAAUGGGGAUACCCUGAGGACGUGAGGGGAUAUAGCAAUGCCCCGCCCAUAAAGCGGGGCAAUUGCAAUGGGGGUCCUCUAAACCCUCCACCGAGUAACAAUUGGAG
This 530-nucleotide ribosomal RNA is filed under the name Trichia varia. RNAcentral describes it as "SSU rRNA". It matches the Rfam family "Eukaryotic small subunit ribosomal RNA", at positions 50 to 553 of the family's 1831-position model. The record is from RNAcentral. Lineage: Eukaryota; Evosea; Eumycetozoa; Trichiida; Trichiidae.